UACGGAGGGUGCGAGCGUUGUCCGGAAUCACUGGGCGUAAAGGGCGCGUAGGCGGCCCUGGCAGUCGGUGGUGAAAGCCCGCGGCUCAACUCCGGAACUGCCAUUGAAACUGUUUAGCUUGAGGAUGAGAGAGGUGAGUGGAAUUCCCAGUGUAGAGGUGAAAUUCGUAGAUAUUGGGAAGAACACCGGUGGCGAAGGCGGCUCACUGGCUCAUUACUGACGCUCAGGCGCGAUAGCGUGGGGAUCAAACAGG
This 253-nucleotide ribosomal RNA is filed under the name uncultured bacterium. Its description in RNAcentral is "partial 16S ribosomal RNA". It matches the Rfam family "Bacterial small subunit ribosomal RNA", at positions 524 to 776 of the family's 1533-position model. The record is from RNAcentral.